AAAACCAAUUCCGGCUGUGUUUUUUUUUUUUUUAUAUAUAUUUUAUAUCAAAGGGGUGAUUUCAAGUUUCUGUUGAUUUGGAUGAUAUGGACACCUUGACUGGUUCUAUAAAUAUUUUUGUGAAGUUUGGUGAAGGGGAUAAGAAAAGUUUUUGUGUGAUGACUUUUACAAGGUACUUCAAGUCAUCAUGUAAAAGAGUCAUGCAAGACUCAGAGGGAUAUUGAAAAGUUAGAAAAGUAGUUGGGCUGUUUCUCUUUAAGUUUUCUACUAUUAUAUAAAUUAUGUUUCUGAAAUUUAAACUUAUUGUCAGUUUUUCAUAACAAACUCUCAUAGCAGACUUUCCUACAGUCAGAUGAACUAACAUUUUGUGAUUUUCAAUAUAUUUGUCAUAUGUCCCAUCGAGAAUGUAGGAGAGUCUAUUAGGAGGGCUUGUUAGGAAAAUAACAUUUUUUCAAACUAAAUCUCAGGAUCAAAAUAGAUGAGAGCAGUGACAUGGAUCAUUUUUCUCCAUCAAUUGUAUUUGGGACCAAUUCAUUGUGAGCUACAGUGGUUCUAAAUUAUUUUUUACCACUUCAAUCAAUGCUUUUCGUUUUUUGGUCUACCACAACCUAUAUCCACAAUAUUACUUGCAUAUUACCGGAAUAUCAAUGAUUUGGAUAGUCCAAAACAUAUCAAAUCAUUAGAUCCUAUUCCCUUAUAUAUAUA
Molecule: long non-coding RNA, 705 nt
Organism: Populus euphratica (Euphrates poplar)
Lineage: Eukaryota; Viridiplantae; Streptophyta; Magnoliopsida; Malpighiales; Salicaceae
Exons: 2
Source: RefSeq, a predicted model, not a curated record